This 497-nucleotide ribosomal RNA is filed under the name uncultured bacterium. RNAcentral describes it as "partial 16S ribosomal RNA". It matches the Rfam family "Bacterial small subunit ribosomal RNA", at positions 28 to 507 of the family's 1533-position model. The record is from RNAcentral.
GAUGAACGCUGGCGGCGUGCCUAAUACAUGCAAGUCGAGCGAACAGACGAGGAGCUUGCUCCUCUGCCGUUAGCGGCGGACGGGUGAGUAACACGUGGAUAACCUACUUAUAAUACUUGGAUGACUUCGUGAAACCGCAGCUAAUACCGGCUAAUAUAUUCAACCGGAUGGUUCAAUAGUUAAAGACGGUUUUGCUGUCACUUAUAGAUGGAUCCGCGCGGCAUUAGCUAGUUGGUAAGGUAACGCCUUACCAAGGCAACGAUGCGUAGCCGACCUGAGAGAGUGAUCGCCGACACUGUAGCAGAGACACAGUCCACACUCCUCUGGGAGGCAGCAGUAGGGAAUCUUCCGCAAUGGGCGAGCACGUGACGGAGAAACACAGCGUGAGUGAUGAGGGUCUUCGGAGCGUAUAACUCUGUUAUGAGGGAAGAAAAAAUGUGUAAGUAAAUAUGCACGUCUUGACGCUGUAUAAUAAGAAUGCCACGGCGAAAUACGUG